AGUUUGAUUCCGGGUCCAGGAUGAACGCGGGCGGCGUGUUAAACACAUGCAAGUCGAACGAAAAGGCCCUGGCUUCCAGGGUACUCGAGUGGCGAACGGGUGAGUAACACGUGGGUGAUUUGCCCUGUACUUCGGGAUAAGCCUGGGAAACUGGGUCUAAUACCGGAUAGGACCGUCUUUUAGUGUAGGCGGUGGAAAGACUUCGGUCGGUAGGGGAUGAGCUUGCGGCCUAUCAGCUUGUUGGUGGGGUAAUGGCCUACCAAGGCGUCGACGGGUAGCCGGCCUGAGAGGGUGUACGGCCACAUUGGGACUGAGAUACGGCCCAGACUCCUACGGGAGGCAGCAGUGGGGAAUAUUGCACAAUGGGCGCAAGCCUGAUGCAGCGACGCCGCGUGGGGGAUGACGGCCUUCGGGUUGUAAACUCCUUUCGCCAGGGACGAAGCGUUAUAGUGACGGUACCUGGAUAAGAAGCACCGGCUAACUACGUGCCAGCAGCCGCGGUAAUACGUAGGGUGCAAGCGUUGUCCGGAAUUACUGGGCGUAAAGAGCUCGUAGGUGGUUUGUCACGUCGUCUGUGAAAGUCCAGCGCUUAACGCUGGGAUUGCAGGCGAUACGGGCUGACUUGAGUGCUGUAGGGGAGACUGGAAUUCCUGGUGUAGCGGUGAAAUGCGCAGAUAUCAGGAGGAACACCAAUGGCGAAGGCAGGUCUCUGGGCAGUGACUGACGCUGAGGAGCGAAAGCAUGGGUAGCCAACAGGAUUAGAUACCCUGGUAGUCCAUGCCGUAAACGGUGGGCGCUAGGUGUGGGGACCUUCCACGGUUUCUGCGCCGUAGCUAACGCAU
This 842-nucleotide ribosomal RNA is filed under the name uncultured bacterium. RNAcentral's name for it is "bacterial SSU rRNA". It matches the Rfam family "Bacterial small subunit ribosomal RNA", at positions 10 to 860 of the family's 1533-position model. The record is from RNAcentral.